GACGAACGCUGGCGGCGUGCCUAAUACAUGCAAGUUGAGCGCUGAAGGUUGGUACUUGUACCGACUGGAUGAGCAGCGAACGGGUGAGUAACGCGUGGGGAAUCUGCCUUUGAGCGGGGGACAACAUUUGGAAACGAAUGCUAAUACCGCAUAAAAACUUUAAACACAAGUUUUAAGUUUGAAAGAUGCAAUUGCAUCACUCAAAGAUGAUCCCGCGUUGUAUUAGCUAGUUGGUGAGGUAAAGGCUCACCAAGGCGAUGAUACAUAGCCGACCUGAGAGGGGGAUCGGCCACAUUGGGACUGAGACACGGCCCAAACUCCUACGGGAGGCAGCAGUAGGGAAUCUUCGGCAAUGGACGAAAGUCUGACCGAGCAACGCCGCGUGAGUGAAGAAGGGUUUCGGAUCGUAAAACUCUGUUGGUAGAGAAGAACGUUGGUGAGAGUGGAAAGCUCAUCAAGUGACGGUAACUACACAGAAAGGGACGGCUAACUACGUG
Molecule: ribosomal RNA, 497 nt
Filed under: uncultured bacterium
Lineage: Bacteria
Description: partial 16S ribosomal RNA
Rfam family: Bacterial small subunit ribosomal RNA
Source: RNAcentral